AACGAACGCUGGCGGCGUGGUUGAUACAUGCAAGUCGAACGGGAAAGAAGUCUUCGGACUUCGAGUACAGUGGCGGACGGGUGAGUAACGUAUGAUCAAUCUGCCCAGAUGACCAGGAUAGCCAUCCGAAAGGAUGGGUAAUACUGGAUAAGCCCACGGUAAGGCAUCUUGACGUGGGAAAAGGAUUGGGAUCUUCGGACCUUUCGCAUCUGGAUGAGAUCAUAACCUAUCAGAUUGUUGGUGAGGUAACGGCUCACCAAGUCUACGACGGGUAGCCGGCCUGGGAGGGUGGACGGCCACACUGGAACUGAGACACGGUCCAGACUCCUACGGGAGGCAGCAGUGCUGAAUUAUUCGCCAAUGCGCGAAAGCGUGACGGUGCGACGCCGCGUGCGGGACGAAGGCCUUCGGGUUGUAAACCGCUGUCAGGGAAUAGAAAACUUAUAUGGUUAAUAGCCAUGUAACUGAUCAUUCCCAAAGGAAGCACAGGCUAAUCUCGUGCCAGCAGCCGCGGUAAAAC
RNAcentral lists this ribosomal RNA (520 nucleotides) under uncultured bacterium. RNAcentral's name for it is "bacterial SSU rRNA". It matches the Rfam family "Bacterial small subunit ribosomal RNA", at positions 29 to 526 of the family's 1533-position model. The record is from RNAcentral.